Molecule: ribosomal RNA, 192 nt
Filed under: Escherichia coli
Lineage: Bacteria; Pseudomonadati; Pseudomonadota; Gammaproteobacteria; Enterobacterales; Enterobacteriaceae
Also listed under: 2 other names
Description: partial 16S ribosomal RNA
Rfam family: Bacterial small subunit ribosomal RNA
Source: RNAcentral
AAAUUGAAGAGUUUGAUCAUGGCUCAGAUUGAACGCUGGCGGCAGGCCUAACACAUGCAAGUCGAACGGUAACAGGAAACAGCUUGCUGUUUCGCUGACGAGUGGCGGACGGGUGAGUAAUGUCUGGGAAACUGCCUGAUGGAGGGGGAUAACUACUGGAAACGGUAGCUAAUACCGCAUAACGUCGCAAGA